UAAAAUGGAAAAAGAAAAGUAUUGCUUGC
Molecule: non-coding RNA, 29 nt
Filed under: Mus musculus (house mouse)
Lineage: Eukaryota; Metazoa; Chordata; Mammalia; Rodentia; Muridae
Source: RNAcentral